RNAcentral lists this ribosomal RNA (301 nucleotides) under uncultured bacterium. RNAcentral describes it as "partial 16S ribosomal RNA". It matches the Rfam family "Bacterial small subunit ribosomal RNA", at positions 509 to 807 of the family's 1533-position model. The record is from RNAcentral.
CAGCAGCCACGGGAAUACGAAGGGUGCAAGCGUUAAUCGGAAUUACUGGGCGUAAAGCGUGCGUAGGCGGUUUGUUAAGUCUGUUGUGAAAUCCCCGGGCUCAACCUGGGAAUGGCAAUGGAUACUGGCAAGCUAGAGUGUGUCAGAGGAUGGUGGAAUUCCCGGUGUAGCGGUGAAAUGCGUAGAGAUCGGGAGGAACAUCAGUGGCGAAGGCGGCUUACUGGCUCAUACUGGACGCUGAGGUGCGAAAGCGUGGGGAGCAAACAGGAUUAGAGACCCCAGUAGUCCCUGUCUCUUAUAC